This 61-nucleotide transfer RNA is filed under the name Nematostella vectensis (starlet sea anemone). It matches the Rfam family "tRNA". Rfam says of the family: Transfer RNA (tRNA) molecules are approximately 80 nucleotides in length. Their secondary structure includes four short double-helical elements and three loops (D, anti-codon, and T loops). Further hydrogen bonds mediate the characteristic L-shaped molecular structure. tRNAs have two regions of fundamental functional importance: the anti-codon, which is responsible for specific mRNA codon recognition, and the 3' end, to which the tRNAs corresponding amino acid is attached (by aminoacyl-tRNA synthetases). tRNAs cope with the degeneracy of the genetic code in two manners: having more than one tRNA (with a specific anti-codon) for a particular amino acid; and 'wobble' base-pairing, i.e. permitting non-standard base-pairing at the 3rd anti-codon position. Lineage: Eukaryota; Metazoa; Cnidaria; Anthozoa; Actiniaria; Edwardsiidae. The record is from Rfam by way of RNAcentral.
GUCUCUGUGGCGCAUUCGGCUGUUAACCGAAAGGUUGGUGGUUCAAGCCCACCCAGGGACA